GACGAACGCUGGCGGCGUGCUUAACACAUGCAAGUCGAACGGAAAGGCCCUGCUUUUGUGGGGUGCUCGAGUGGCGAACGGGUGAGUAACACGUGAGUAACCUGCCCUUGACUUUGGGAUAACUUCAGGAAACUGGGGCUAAUACCGGAUAGGAGCUCCUGCUGCAUGGUGGGGGUUGGAAAGUUUCGGCGGUUGGGGAUGGACUCGCGGCUUAUCAGCUUGUUGGUGGGGUAGUGGCUUACCAAGGCUUUGACGGGUAGCCGGCCUGAGAGGGUGACCGGCCACAUCGGGACUGAGAUACGGCCCAGACUCCUACGGGAGGCAGCAGUGGGGAAUAUUGCACAAUGGGCGGAAGCCUGAUGCAGCAACGCCGCGUGCGGGAUGACGGCCUUCGGGUUGUAAACCGCUUUCGCCUGUGACGAAGCGUGAGUGACGGUAAUGGGUAAAGAAGCACCGGCUAACUACGUGCCAGCAGCCGCGGUGAUACGUAGGGUGCGAGCGUUGUCCGGAUUUAUUGGGCGUAAAGGGCUCGUAGGUGGUUGAUCGCGUCGGAAGUGUAAUCUUGGGGCUUAACCCUGAGCGUGCUUUCGAUACGGGUUGACUUGAGGAAGGUAGGGGAGAAUGGAAUUCCUGGUGGAGCGGUGGAAUGCGCAGAUAUCAGGAGGAACACCAGUGGCGAAGGCGGUUCUCUGGGCCUUUCCUGACGCUGAGGAGCGAAAGCGUGGGGAGCGAACAGGCUUAGAUACCCUGGUAGUCCACGCUGUAAACGGUGGGUACUAGGUGUGGGGUCCAUUCCACGGGUUCCGUGCCGUAGCUAACGCUUUAAGUACCCCGCCUGGGGAGUACGGCCGCAAGGCUAAAACUCAAAGGAAUUGACGGGGCCCCGCACAAGCGGCGGAGCAUGCGGAUUAAUUCGAUGCAACGCGUAGAACCUUACCUGGGUUUGACAUGGAUCGGGAGUGCUCAGAGAUGGGUGUGCCUCUUUUGGGGUCGGUUCACAGGUGGUGCAUGGCUGUCGUCAGCUCGUGUCGUGAGAUGUUGGGUUAAGUCCCGCAACGAGCGCAACCCUUGUUCACUGUUGCCAGCACGUUAUGGUGGGGACUCAGUGGAGACCGCCGGGGUCAACUCGGAGGAAGGUGGGGAUGACGUCAAGUCAUCAUGCCCCUUAUGUCCAGGGCUUCACGCAUGCUACAAUGGCUGGUACAGAGAGUGGCGAGCCUGUGAGGGUGAGCGAAUCUCGGAAAGUCGGUCUCAGUUCGGAUUGGGGUCUGCAACUCGACCUCAUGAAGUCGGAGUCGCUAGUAAUCGCAGAUCAGCAACGCUGCGGUGAAUACGUUCCCGGG
This 1343-nucleotide ribosomal RNA is filed under the name uncultured bacterium. RNAcentral describes it as "16S ribosomal RNA". It matches the Rfam family "Bacterial small subunit ribosomal RNA", at positions 28 to 1378 of the family's 1533-position model. The record is from RNAcentral.